Non-coding RNA from Bos taurus (domestic cattle), 73 nucleotides. Lineage: Eukaryota; Metazoa; Chordata; Mammalia; Artiodactyla; Bovidae. The record is from Rfam.
UCCCUUGUAGUCCAGUGGUUAGGACUCUGCACUCUCAAUGCUAAGAUCCUAGGUUCAGUCCCUGCUUGGGGAA